UCCCUGGUCUCACCACUGCUAGCCACUUCCUGCCUCAUUGGUUGAGAACUCCCUUUGAAAUCCAGUGGGAAAUAUGUGCAAGGAGCAAUCCCCAGCCAACUGAAGAAAAUCCAAUUUCUCUUUGAAUGCAGUUAUAAAGGAUCCCUUUGCCUGUAAGAUUCAAGUGGCACUGUGGUUUUUGUUCCAAUUUUGAGAAGAGGAAAAUUCUUGAUAAGAGAAUAGCUGUGUUAAGUAUUUGUUUAAAGCUGAACCACAAAACCAUUCAUGAGUAACACAGGCAGUUAAAUGGUACCAUCUGGAGCAAAAGGCAUCUGUAAGUAUCCUUAUUUAAGAACCAGUUUACAAAUAAUAACAGACUCAUGGAAUUAAGCAGUUAGCUACUUUGUCAGGAAUAACAGCAUU
This is a long non-coding RNA of Ornithorhynchus anatinus (platypus), 402 nucleotides long. RefSeq lists it as uncharacterized. Lineage: Eukaryota; Metazoa; Chordata; Mammalia; Monotremata; Ornithorhynchidae. The record is from RefSeq and is a predicted model, not a curated record. The transcript has 3 exons.